UUAAAGUUUUAUUUUAGCUUAAAUUAAUAGUUUAUAAUUACUUUAAAUGUAAAUUUUAGUGUAAUUUUAUAUAUUUUUAAAUAAAAUAGAUUAUUUGCAAUAUUUAAUUUUAUAAAUUAAGGAAACUUAGAUUUAGUAAUUUAUUUUAUAAUAAACAAAAUUUGUGCCAGCAGUUGCGGUUAUACAAAUUAUUAAAUUAUUAAUUAUAAAUUUAUAAUAAUUUAUUUUUUAUAUUAAAUAAAAUUUUAAUUUAUUAAGUGAAAUUUUAAUUUUUAAAAUUAUUUAGUUAGAAUUAGAAGAUAUUAUUAAAUUUAAGUAAGACUAGGAUUAGAUACCCUAUUAUGAAAAUGUAAAUUUAAAAAUUAAAUUAGUAUUAGUUAUGUUCUUGAAAAUUAAAAAAUUUGGCGGUAUUUUAGUCUUUUCAGAGGAACCUGUUCUGUAAUUGAUAAUCCACGAUUUAGGUUACUUAUUUUAGAAAUUUGUAUAUCGUUGUAGUUGAAUAUUUUAUAAGAAUUUUAAUAUUCAAAAAAUUUAAUUAAAUAAAAAAUCAAAUCAAGGUGCAGUUUAUAAAUAAGAUGAAAUGGGUUACAAUUAAUUUAUUAAUAGUUAUAUUAUUAAAAAUGAUAUAUAAAUUGGAUUUGAAAGUAAUUAAAUUUAAAUAAAUUUAAUGAUUUUAGCUCUAAAAUAUGCACAUAUCGCCCGUCACUCUCAUCUAAAAUGAGAUAAGUCGUAACAAAGUAGAUGUACUGGAAAGUGUAUCUAGUAACAA
This 769-nucleotide non-coding RNA is filed under the name Scaphisoma boleti. Lineage: Eukaryota; Metazoa; Arthropoda; Insecta; Coleoptera; Staphylinidae. The record is from RNAcentral.